ACAUGCCUACAACAUAGCAUUAAUGCAGCGGAUCCCAUUAAAACUUUGUAGUUAAGCAUGCUCAAGAUAGAGUAGUACUGGGAUGGGUGACCUCGUGGGAAUUCCUAGUUUCUUACAUGCC
Molecule: non-coding RNA, 121 nt
Organism: Picea glauca (white spruce)
Lineage: Eukaryota; Viridiplantae; Streptophyta; Pinopsida; Pinales; Pinaceae
Source: Rfam